Lepidothrix coronata (blue-crowned manakin) is the source of this 1014-nucleotide RNA transcript. RefSeq lists it as uncharacterized. The transcript is spliced from 7 exons. NCBI's taxonomy places the organism in Eukaryota, Metazoa, Chordata, Aves, Passeriformes, Pipridae. The record is from RefSeq and is a predicted model, not a curated record.
CAGGAGCACCUGUGUAUCUCGAUGCUCGCGUGCUCUGUCCCACACGUGUCUGCAGACGUGACUCUCUGUGUCACAGGCUGAACCCAGCGAAGGAAAGGCCUUGUGUGCCCCAUAAUGACGUGGACGCUUUCCUGCCCUGCGAUGGUUCAGCCCUUCUGCCAAGAUGCUGGGCCUUGCUUACAGAGAGACAGCAGCUUGGAGGAUGGAGGUAGUCGAAAGGAGAUGCCUUUGAACAGGAGCAGAAUAACCAGAAUACAGCACUUCAUAUACAGGACAAGACUGAUUUUAUGGGCCCACAGCCCUGGAAGCUGGUUUCCACCAGGAGGGGCCACUGUGCCUUUCCCAUUAUUGCCUGAGCUCUGGCACUGCUCCACACCAUGCAGGAGAGGGACGGCUAAAGAAGGAUGGGCAGAAUGAAAUUCCACCCAAAGCAGUCUUAUUCAGCCUUCCCCACAUUCUCCUAAAACCUCUCCCUGCCUCACUUCUGCUAAGCCCUGUUGGAGAACCAGAGCAGAGAUGACACAAUCCCAGUGGAGCACUUACCGAUGGUUGGCACCAAGAGAACAUCUGGUGUGGGCAGUGGCUGGAGCUCAGCAUCCUAGCAAGGUACUUUCUGGAAGGAAGCAACACCUGAGAUCUCUCAUCCCUGAGAAUAACUCCCUGUGCAUUAGCACCACCAAAGUACUGAGGAAUUCCAGGCCACAUGUGACCUCUGGCUCUGCAAGGAUCAGCCUCACUGGAGCUCCUCCGUGUGACAUGUGAAGCUCCUGUGUUGCAACAGCCCCGCUACCAGCUCCUGGGGCCUGAGCCGUGGCUGCAGGUGCUGCGGCGGAGCUGGAGCCAUGGCAGAGUCUGCAGGAGGACGGGCAGGUCACGUACCACAGCGAGCUGCAGUGGAGCCAGGUGCCACAUGGGAGAAGGUCAAUAAAGCAGAAAACCCUGGAAGUCAAACAACUCUUCAGGGGUCAUUUGCUCAGAACGAGAACCCAGCUAUUCAGGACCAGUAGAGCCAAG